Molecule: ribosomal RNA, 1030 nt
Filed under: uncultured bacterium
Lineage: Bacteria
Description: bacterial SSU rRNA
Rfam family: Bacterial small subunit ribosomal RNA
Source: RNAcentral
UCCUACGGGAGGCAGCAGUAGGGAAUCUUGCGCAAUGGGCGAAAGCCUGACGCAGCGACGCCGCGUGGGGGAAGAAGGCCUUCGGGUUGUAAACCUCUUUCAGGAGGGACGAAGCCACUCGGGUUAAUAGCCCAGAGGGUGACGGUACUUCCAGAAGAAGCCCCGGCUAACUACGUGCCAGCAGCCGCGGUAAUACGUAGGGGGCAAGCGUUGUCCGGAUUUAUUGGGCGUAAAGCGCGUGUAGGCGGCCAGGUAGGUCUGCUGUGAAAACUCGAGGCUCAACCUCGAGCUGUCGGCGGAAACCCUCUGGCUAGAGUCCGGAAGAGGAGAGUGGAAUUCCUGGUGUAGCGGUGAAAUGCGCAGAUAUCAGGAAGAACACCCAUGGCGAAGGCAGCUCUCUGGGACGGUACUGACGCUGAGACGCGAAAGCGUGGGGAGCAAACGGGAUUAGAUACCCCGGUAGUCCUGGCAGUAAACGGUGCACGUUUGGUGUGGGAGGAUUCGACCCCUUCUGCGCCGGAGCUAACGCGUUAAACGUGCCGCCUGGGGAGUACGGUCGCAAGAUUAAAACUCAAAGAAAUUGACGGGGGCCCGCACAAGCGGUGGAGUAUGUGGCUCAAUUCGAUGCAACGCGAAGAACCUUACCAGGCCUUGACAUGCAUCUCUAAGUUGGUGAAAGCCAGCGAGUCCCGCAAGGGAUAAUUUGCACAGGUGCUGCAUGGCUGUCGUCAGCUCGUGUCGUGAGAUGUUGGGUUAAGUCCCGCAACGAGCGCAACCCCUGUGAACUGUUGCCACGGAACCGAGAGGUUCCAGCACUCUGUUCAGACUGCCCCGCUUUAACGGGGAGGAAGGUGGGGACGACGUCAAGUCAGUAUGGCCCUUACGGCCUGGGCUGCACACGUACUACAAUGCCCAGCACAGAACGAUCCGAGACCGCGAGGUGGAGGAAAUCACUAAAACUGGGCCCAGUUCAGAUUGAAGUCUGCAACUCGACUUCAUGAAGCCGGAAUCGCUAGUAAUGGCGCAUCAG